GCAGACACAUUCCAGCCAAUCAGCAGCAGACCCUCCCUCCCAGACCCUCCCACUUCCUGGACAGCAUCCAUUUUACAUUCAUUGUGAAGCUGAAUUCUUAGUGAGCUGUCCAGGAGGUGGGAGGGUCUGGGAGGGAGGGUCUGCUGCUGAUUGGCUGGAAUGUGUCUG
RNAcentral lists this microRNA precursor (168 nucleotides) under Pelobates cultripes (western spadefoot toad). Lineage: Eukaryota; Metazoa; Chordata; Amphibia; Anura; Pelobatidae. The record is from RNAcentral.